Molecule: ribosomal RNA, 395 nt
Filed under: uncultured bacterium
Lineage: Bacteria
Description: bacterial SSU rRNA
Rfam family: Bacterial small subunit ribosomal RNA
Source: RNAcentral
AAUGAACGCUGGCGGCGCGCCUAAUACAUGCAAGUCGAGCGAGAAGACGUAGCAAUACGUUUGUAAAGCGGCGAACGGGUGAGGAAUACAUGGGUAACCUACCCUAGAGUGGGGAAUAACUAGCCGAAAGGUUAGCUAAUACCGCGUACGCUCCUUGGACUUCGGUUCAGGGAGGAAAGCGAUGCCGAGGGUAUCGCGCUCUUGGAUGGGCUCAUGUCCUAUCAGCUUGNGGUGAGGUAACGGCUCACCAAGGCUUCGACGGGUAGCUGGCCUGAGAGGACGAUCAGCCACACUGGCACUGCGACACGGGCCAGACUCCUACGGGAGCAGCAGUAAGGAAUAUGCGCAAUGGGCAAAGCCUGACGCAGCGACGCCGCGUGGGGGAUGAAGGUCUU